GGCUUCUAGUUUGGGUUUGAAGUCUGGCCUGCCCAGUGAAAAUUUUUAACGGCCGCGGUAUUUUGACCGUGCAAAGGUAGCAUAAUCAUUAGUCUUUUAAUAGGAGGCUGGUAUGAAGGGCUUGACGAGAUAUCUCCUGUCUCAUUUUGAAAUUAUUGGAACUUAAUUUUUAAGUUAAAAAGCUUAAAUUUUUUUGGAAGACGAGAAGACCCUAUAGAGCUUUAUUAUUAAUAUUUUAUAAUACUUUUGUUUUAUUAUUUUUUAUAAUAUAUUAUUAAUUUUGUUGGGGUGAUGAAAUUAUAUAAUUAACUUUUUUAUUUAUAAUACAUUUAUUUAUGUUAAUUAGAUCCAUUAUUAUUGAUUAUUAGAAUAAGUUACCUUAGGGAUAACAGCGUAAUCCUUUUUGGGAGUUCAAAUCUACAAAUGGGCUUGCGACCUCGAUGUUGGAUUAAGAUAAUGGUUUGGUGCAGCAGCUUUACCAAUAGGUCUGUUCGACCUUUAAAUUCUUACAUGAUCUGAGUUCAGACCGG
RNAcentral lists this ribosomal RNA (530 nucleotides) under Oxystigma sp. BOLD:ACG0309. Its description in RNAcentral is "partial 16S ribosomal RNA". It matches the Rfam family "Bacterial large subunit ribosomal RNA", at positions 1830 to 2619 of the family's 2925-position model. Lineage: Eukaryota; Metazoa; Arthropoda; Insecta; Odonata; Heteragrionidae. The record is from RNAcentral.